Long non-coding RNA from Schistocerca cancellata (South American locust), 691 nucleotides. RefSeq lists it as uncharacterized. The transcript is spliced from 4 exons. The record is from RefSeq and is a predicted model, not a curated record. Lineage: Eukaryota; Metazoa; Arthropoda; Insecta; Orthoptera; Acrididae.
ACCUUAAGUACCGACGAUUACAGAGGCGUCUUAAUCCACGUGGGCACAAACUCCAUCCGCAGUAACAGUGAGGAAGAAAUCGUGAAUGAAACACGGAAUCUGAUUAGAUCGGCGAAAUCUGUAUACCCAACAUCCAGGCUGGUAAUUAGUGGAAUUAUUCAUCGAAGAUCGGGUUACACCUUAAACAGGGUAAUGUGUUUCAUGAAUGGCAGACACAUUCAGACCCUGAACAUUUGAAAACAGUUUGCCACAAUGAGUGAUCCUGAAAGUGACAAUAAUAAUGAUAACCACUUUUAUGAUGAAUGGUUACAGAGGAAUUCAAGGGGUGCCAAAGAAACUGUAACUUGUCAAAAGCUCUUCUCACAAACAUAUAGAACUAACAUGCAACAAAUUAAAAAUACAGAAGUACAAAUGAGCACAAUUACAGGAGUGACAAAGGAAUCUUAUCACAGGAAAUUGUAGAAGAAACCAUCUAAUGACAAAGUGACAGCAGAACAUAAACAAGGAGAAAAAAGAGUGAGUGAGACUAACAAAAGAAGAUCAGAGAGCUCAGUGAAAAAGAUGCAAUAAGAGUGGAACAAAAAUCUUGCAAAAGUUGGUAUUAUCUGCAUGCAGAAACAAGACAGAUAAUGAUAAUACUUUAGCAAUUUUUGGUAUAUUAAGAAUAAGAUUUAACAAACACAUAUUUUCU